AGAAAAGAUAUAAACGGAGACAGAGAAUGCACCAUGGUUGUUCUUAAUGUGUUUGCAGACCUCUGUGACUUUCUAGGGCAGGAGCCUUGUGUAUCUUCUGGUCCAGCACACAGGAAGCACCAAUAAGAAGGAGCUUGAGACACACAGGAAGACUACAAUUCUAUGCAGUAACAUUAUUUAAUUGUGAGACCUUCUACCACUUUUGCAUCCCCUACAGAAUUAGCGAGAGAAGUGCAAUCUCUCAGCCUGGAGUAUUGAGUCACCGCAUGAAGGUGCAUGUUCUGGAGUUGCCUGGCUCUGGAAUCCAAUUUGCAUGAAUGAAAAAUAAACUGUUGUCAUGUUAAGCCAUUGAGGUUUUGGGGUCAUUUGUGGCAAUAGCAUAACCCAACCUUUUCUAAUAAAUGUGUUUUCUGAUGAAAAAUUUAAAU
Molecule: long non-coding RNA, 428 nt
Filed under: Suricata suricatta (meerkat)
Lineage: Eukaryota; Metazoa; Chordata; Mammalia; Carnivora; Herpestidae
Description: lncRNA (ENSSSUG00005022656.1)
Source: RNAcentral